This 308-nucleotide ribosomal RNA is filed under the name uncultured eukaryote. RNAcentral's name for it is "partial 18S ribosomal RNA". It matches the Rfam family "Eukaryotic small subunit ribosomal RNA", at positions 1470 to 1796 of the family's 1831-position model. The record is from RNAcentral.
CCCUUAGACGUUCUGGGCCGCACGCGCGCUACACUGACGAAGGCAACGAGCUUUCCUUUACCGAAAGGUACGGGUAAUCUUUUGAAACUUCGUCGUGCUGGGGAUAGAUCCUUGCAAUUAUUGAUCUUAAACGAGGAAUUCCUAGUAAGCGCAAGUCAUCAACUUGCGUUGAUUACGUCCCUGCCCUUUGUACACACCGCCCGUCGCUACUACCGAUUGAAUGGUUUAGUGAGGCCUUCGGGUCCGCGACUCGUUUUGUGGAGAAGUUGGACAAACUCAGUCAUUUAGAGGAAGUAAAAGUCGUAACA